Long non-coding RNA from Cyprinus carpio carpio, 751 nucleotides. The record is from Ensembl. Lineage: Eukaryota; Metazoa; Chordata; Actinopteri; Cypriniformes; Cyprinidae.
AUUUCUUGAAAACAGGUCUUAACAAUAACUAAUGGCUACCUGUGGACAGAACGGUUUAAAAAGGGCUGCACACUCUCUCUGCAUGUUUGGACGGGGUCUUGAGGAAGAGAACACACACAUAUGGUGUUGACCAUCACACUCUGCAGUGACAGACGGAGCAGACUCAUUACCGAACAAAACGACAGGCAGCGUGUCGGAGGGGAGGUUUCAGACAGAGGAGCAUGACUGCUGUACGGAGAGAAUACGCAGGAAAACAGAGAACGAUGGACAGAACUACUAAAGGCAGUCUUUCUCAGGUAAGUCAUAACACCACCAGUCCUGAGAGAGACGACGUUUAACUGCAGGUAAGAAUCACAUCCUGCUGUAAAUAUCUGUUUUUAAUAUGAAGUGGCAGGGGAUAUGAACACUUCUCAGGAAAGAAGAUGUGUGUUGCCACAGGGUUUCUCCUAACCAGUGCUCUAGACUGAAAAGCAUAAACACUGUUAUCACUCUUCCUGCUAGCAGGUACUUCGGUGAGAGCAGGUGCAACUGACUCUGCUUACUUUUACCAAUAUAUUCAUUAACACCAUUACUGCUUGUUUCCAGGCACAUACAGGCUCAAAUUAAGCAUGGGAACACUGAUGAUAAUAAUUAAACUAUAGGCCCUUUUAUGUGGUUCAAAUAUAUGAGCUCUUAAUUACACGUCCUAAUCCAAAAUUUCUUAAGCCUUAGAAGUGUGGCUUUAAAUAGUAAAAUAAAUACAUUUAAAAAA